UACAGAGGUCUCAAGCGUUGUUCGGAAUCACUGGGCGUAAAGGGUGCGUAGGCGGCGUAAAAAGUCAGAUGUGAAAUCCGGAGGCUCAACCUCCGAAUUGCAUCCGAAACUUUUAUGCUUGAGAGUUGUAGAGGAGCUUGGAAUUCUCGGUGUAGCAGUGAAAUGCGUAGAUAUCGAGAAGAACGCUCGCAGCGAAAGCGGGGCUCUGGGCAAUUUCUGACGCUGAUGCACGAAGGCUAGGGGAGCAAACGGG
Molecule: ribosomal RNA, 253 nt
Filed under: uncultured bacterium
Lineage: Bacteria
Description: partial 16S ribosomal RNA
Rfam family: Bacterial small subunit ribosomal RNA
Source: RNAcentral